GGAGGAAAAGAAAAUAACAAUGAUUUCCCUAGUAACGGCGAGUGAAGAGGAAAGAGCUCAAAGUUGGAAACUGUUUGGCUUAGCUAAACCGUAUUGUAAACUGUAGAAACAUUUUCCUGGCACACCAGAUUAAUAAGUCCUUUGGAACAAGGCAUCAUGGAGGGUGAGAAUCCCGUCUUUGAUCUGAGUAGUUGUCUUUUGUGAUAUGUUUUCAAAGAGUCAGGUUGUUUGGGAAUGCAGCCUAAAUUGGGUGGUAAAUCUCACCUAAAGCUAAAUAUUUGCGAGAGACCGAUAGCGAACAAGUACCGUGAGGGAAAGAUGAAAAGAACUUUGAAAAGAGAGUUAAACAGUAUGUGAAAUUGUUAAAAGGGAACCGUUUGGAGCCAGACUGGUUUGACUGUAAUCAACCUAGAAUUCGUUUUGGGUGCACUUGCAGUCUAUACCUGCCAACAACAGUUUGAUUUGGAGGACAAAAUUAAUAGGAAUGUAGCAUCUCGAGGUGUUAUAGACUAUUAUCAUACUCUGGAUUGGACUGAGGAACGCAGCGAAUGCCUUUAGGCGAGAUUGCUGGGUGCUUUCGCUAAUAAAUGUUAGAAUUUCUGCUUCGGGUGGUGCUAAUGUUUAAAGGAGGAACACAUCUAGUAUAUUUUUUAUUCGCUUAGGUUGUUGGCUUAAUGACUCUAAUGAC
RNAcentral lists this ribosomal RNA (688 nucleotides) under Mucor circinelloides. Its description in RNAcentral is "eukaryotic LSU rRNA". It matches the Rfam family "Eukaryotic large subunit ribosomal RNA", at positions 52 to 648 of the family's 3401-position model. Lineage: Eukaryota; Fungi; Mucoromycota; Mucoromycetes; Mucorales; Mucoraceae. The record is from RNAcentral.